Molecule: non-coding RNA, 341 nt
Organism: Phascolarctos cinereus (koala)
Lineage: Eukaryota; Metazoa; Chordata; Mammalia; Diprotodontia; Phascolarctidae
Source: RefSeq, a predicted model, not a curated record
GGAGAGCUCACUGCACCAUGGGAAAAGAGCUCAGAGCAUCCUCAACCAGAGACCUCUACGACCUCGUCACCAAGGAAUGCAAUAUGGCUGAAACAACGGCCACCAGGGUCUCCCACCAAGUAGAUUAGUGCAGCUCUUUAGCCAAAAGAAAGUCAUCCCAGAGACACGAGGGCACAGAUAGCCACGCACAGCCAGUCCCUCAGAAGUGGAAGGUAACUCCUGGUCUCAUGAGUCACUCUGGAGACAAUGGGAGACUUACCUAACCAAAUCAAUGGCUGUACUCUCACUGAAUAUCCUUUCCAGGUUACGGCUAAGUAAACUUCUUUUUGUUAAAUGCGAAA